GAUUGGACAGCUCACCGCCCGCCAUUUGUCAGCUGUCAAACAUAAAUACAUCGAUAAAUUGCUUCAUAACUCCACUAAACACGACCAAAUGCAUUAAUUAAGGAUAGAGGAAGAUAAUAGAAACCCUAUGGCACCUGUGGAGAGGCGGAAAGCAGCUGUAAAUAAGAGAAACAGAAGAAAAUAGUGUUUAUAAAUGAGUGUGUCUCCCUCCCGGCGUUCCUCAAGGCUGAGUGACUGACAGGAAUGAGACGAAAGAAAGAAGAAAAGGAAGAAGAGGAAGAA
Long non-coding RNA from Portunus trituberculatus (swimming crab), 282 nucleotides. RefSeq lists it as uncharacterized. The record is from RefSeq and is a predicted model, not a curated record. The transcript is spliced from 2 exons. NCBI's taxonomy places the organism in Eukaryota, Metazoa, Arthropoda, Malacostraca, Decapoda, Portunidae.